UACGAAGGGGGCUAGCGUUGCUCGGAAUCACUGGGCGUAAAGCGCACGUAGGCGGAUUGCUAAGUCAGGGGUGAAAUCCUGGAACUCAACUCCAGAACUGCCCUUGAUACUGGCGACCUCGAGUCCGGAAGAGGUGAGUGGAACUGCGAGUGUAGAGGUGAAAUUCGUAGAUAUUCGCAAGAACACCAGUGGCGAAGGCGGCUCACUGGCCCGAUACUGACGCUGAGGCACGAAAGCUAGGGUAG
RNAcentral lists this ribosomal RNA (245 nucleotides) under uncultured Nitrobacter sp. Its description in RNAcentral is "partial 16S ribosomal RNA". It matches the Rfam family "Bacterial small subunit ribosomal RNA", at positions 524 to 768 of the family's 1533-position model. Lineage: Bacteria; Pseudomonadati; Pseudomonadota; Alphaproteobacteria; Hyphomicrobiales; Nitrobacteraceae. The record is from RNAcentral.